GAGGAGCCCAGAGCCUGAAUCAGCAUGUGUGUUAGUGGAAGCGUCUGGAAAGGCGCGCGAUACAGGGUGACAGCCCCGUACACAAAAGCGCAUGUGCUGUGAGCUCGAUGAGUAGGGCGGGACACGUGGUAUCCUGUCUGAAUAUGGGGGGACCAUCCUCCAAGGCUAAAUACUCCUGACUGACCGAUAGUGAACCAGUACCGUGAGGGAAAGGCGAAAAGAACCCCGGCGAGGGGAGUGAAAAAGAACCUGAAACCGUGUACGUACAAGCAGUGGGAGCCCCACCACCAAAGCAUUCUCUGGUGUUGAAGGCCCUGCAAAGCAGCAUCGCGGUGGCGGAGCGUCGUUUGCGACGCCCAACACACAAAACAAGCGGUGAAUGCUUUGGGGUGGGGUGACUGCGUACCUUUUGUAUAAUGGGUCAGCGACUUAUAUUCUGUAGCAAGGUUAACCGAAUAGGGGAGCCGGAGGGAAACCGAGUCUUAAUUGGGCGUUAAGUUGCAGGGUAUAGACCCGAAACCCGGUGAUCUAGCCAUGGGCAGGUUGAAGGUUGGGUAACACUAACUGGAGGACCGAACCGACUAAUGUUGAAAAAUUAGCGGAUGACCUGUGGCUGGGGGUGAAAGGCCAAUCAAACCGGGAGAUAGCUGGUUCUCCCCGAAAGCUAUUUAGGUAGCGCCUCGUGAAUUCAUCUCCGGGGGUAGAGCACUGUUUCGGCUAGGGGGCCAUCCCGGCUUACCAACCCC
Molecule: ribosomal RNA, 746 nt
Filed under: Salmonella enterica subsp. enterica
Lineage: Bacteria; Pseudomonadati; Pseudomonadota; Gammaproteobacteria; Enterobacterales; Enterobacteriaceae
Description: partial 23S ribosomal RNA
Rfam family: Bacterial large subunit ribosomal RNA
Source: RNAcentral